UGGCUCAGCGGUUAAGAGCACUGGCUGCUCUUCCAGAGGACCUGAGUUCAAAUCUCAG
Molecule: transfer RNA, 58 nt
Filed under: Neotoma lepida (desert woodrat)
Lineage: Eukaryota; Metazoa; Chordata; Mammalia; Rodentia; Cricetidae
Rfam family: tRNA
About the family: Transfer RNA (tRNA) molecules are approximately 80 nucleotides in length. Their secondary structure includes four short double-helical elements and three loops (D, anti-codon, and T loops).
Source: Rfam by way of RNAcentral